UAGGGCUAGAAAAGGAGAACUGCUGCCCUUCUUGGGCAGAGCUUAGGUCAUUUGGGAUGUUAAGGUUGUUUUCGUUGUGAUUAGCCAUCGUGGAUCUCAGUGGGUUUUGUUAAGAGUGGAACUCCGGUGAUGAAAAGAUCUCCUUCGUUUCCCACAGACGGCGCCAAUUGAUGAUCUGAGAUCCAAAGAAAUAGGGUUGUUACAAUGGGCUCUGUAAAACUUAGAAAAAGC
RNAcentral lists this long non-coding RNA (231 nucleotides) under Manihot esculenta (cassava). RNAcentral describes it as "long non-coding RNA (MESC_LNC001931)". Lineage: Eukaryota; Viridiplantae; Streptophyta; Magnoliopsida; Malpighiales; Euphorbiaceae. The record is from RNAcentral.